GUUGACAAUGGUCCUAUCUCUUUAAAAAGAAAAAAAAAAGGCGUCUGGGCGGGGAGGGGGGUGCUGCUGACUGCGGCAGGGCACCCAGUGGCCUGGACCAGUGGCUGCGGCGGCAGUCACGCUGGAAACUGCUGAUGUGACAGAAGGACAACAAAGGCCUGGGACGCGACACUGGCCGGGAUCAGGGACUGCGCGAGGACCCGGCUAGAUGUCACAGGAGAGGCCGGGAGCCCACAGGAGGCGGGCGCAGCUGAUGGGGCCCCGUCCAUCUGCUGAGAGCCAGGCUAGGACCCGGGCGCCCAGGCUCUGAGGUCGUUUUCCAGGACUGCUGGUCGUUGCCCAGGGAUACUGCCUUCUGAGAGGACAGAGAUGCUUCUUUACCGCCUUGUGCCCUGAUCCCAGAAGUGAUGCCAAGAUAUAGGUGUUCCCAGAGCAAGAAGAAAGACCCUGGCCGAGGAGUAUUUCACAUCUGCUGAGAUGAGGUGGGGACCACACGGAGCCCGAGAACUUCUACAGCAUCUCCCCGCCAUGCUCAAGAAGAAACACCAAAGCUCUUCAGAUGAAAAGAGCUCACCUUUGCUUCGGGGAAAAGCCAAAAACCACUAGUUAAUCAAAACCAUUUUACCUUAAGAACGUCUGUGGGUUGUUGGAGCAGAAGGAUCAGAGCCCAAGGAGGCAACUCUUUCAGACUGGAGGAUCAUACUGUAAGGACCCGAAACACAGAGCACAGCAAUGCUCUUGGACAUCAGGUGAUGAAAGGACACUGAGGGGAAAACAGCCUUUUCACUGGCCUGGCGGAGCUGAGCCUGGAGCACACGUUUAAGGCAAACACAGAGGAAAGACUCAGAAGAAAGAAAACACAUUUUCAUGGUUUUCACAGACAGAUGUUCCAGGACAAGUGAUGACGGAGACCAAGGAUAAUAGGUGGCUCCGGGUGACCGUGCUGCCCGGCUGCGUGGGCUGCAGGACGGUGGCGGUCCCCGCGUCCUGGACGGUGCGCGACGUGAAGCGGCGCCUCGCGGCCGAGACGGCUUCCCCACGGCGGAGCAGCGGCUGUGGCUGGCGGCGGCCGCAGGUAGGGCGGCCCGGGCCCGCGGCGGGAG
This 1103-nucleotide long non-coding RNA is filed under the name Camelus dromedarius (Arabian camel). RNAcentral describes it as "lncRNA (ENSCDRG00005017494.1)". The record is from RNAcentral. Lineage: Eukaryota; Metazoa; Chordata; Mammalia; Artiodactyla; Camelidae.